RNAcentral lists this transfer RNA (66 nucleotides) under Parafronurus youi. RNAcentral describes it as "tRNA-Ser". The record is from RNAcentral. Lineage: Eukaryota; Metazoa; Arthropoda; Insecta; Ephemeroptera; Heptageniidae.
GAGGUAUGAUGAUCAUGAAAGAGCUGCUAACUCUCUCUUUAGCGGUUAAAUUCCGUUGAUACUUCU